RNAcentral lists this ribosomal RNA (305 nucleotides) under uncultured bacterium. RNAcentral describes it as "bacterial SSU rRNA". It matches the Rfam family "Bacterial small subunit ribosomal RNA", at positions 334 to 653 of the family's 1533-position model. The record is from RNAcentral.
GGAACCUACGGGACGCAGCAGUCGGGAAUAUUGCGCAAUGGAGGAAACUCUGACGCAGUGACGCCGCGUGCAGGAAGAAGGUUUUCGGAUUGUAAACUGCUUUAGAUAGGGAAGAAAAAAAUGACGGUACCUAUAGAAUAAGCUCCGGCUAACUACGUGCCAGCAGCCGCGGUAAUACGUAGGGAGCAAGCGUUAUCCGGAUUUAUUGGGUGUAAAGGGUGCGUAGAUGGAUAAACAAGUUGUUUGUGAAAUACCUCGGCCCAACUGAGGAGCUGCAAGCAAAACUGUAUAUCUUGAGUACUGGG